Long non-coding RNA from Cucurbita moschata (crookneck pumpkin), 1081 nucleotides. RefSeq lists it as uncharacterized. The record is from RefSeq and is a predicted model, not a curated record. The transcript is spliced from 5 exons. NCBI's taxonomy places the organism in Eukaryota, Viridiplantae, Streptophyta, Magnoliopsida, Cucurbitales, Cucurbitaceae.
GGUUGCUUCAUCAAGUAACAGUAUUUUUGGGUCCCGAAGAAGAGCUCUCGCUAUGGAAAUCCGUUGCUUUUGACCUCCAGACAUUUGGAAACCAAACUGACCGACCUGAAAAGAAGUCGACAUACCAAAGUUGAUAACUAGUUUUCGAGCCGUGAAGUCUUAGACAGCAACCUAAUUCUGUCCAUCAUAAUCUUGCCGAACACAAGCCCUGGACCAAUGAACAUGGCCGAGAGCGGGAUGACUGCAAAGGUGAACUUCCACGAUACUAUAAAGGCAAAUACGUGGCAGAAGAAGAAUGUUGACAUAGUUUUCCAUAAGAAAAGGCAACAUAACAAAGAGGAGCAAGCCUUACCUUGUCAACCAUAUCGUUUGUCAAGCCACUGUUCUUGUCUCCAUAAGCAUUGAUUACAUCCUUAAGAAGGAACAUCGUGAGAGGGAUCUGUGAUCCAUCUCCUAUGCUACCCAAAGUCCCAAAAAACAUCAGAAACUUGUCGAAGCCAUCAGCAUACCGAAACAUGCUUUUGCCUGCCAUUUUUUCAGCUCUGUGGUCUAGAAGAGUGACAGAGAGAAAGAGAGGAGCAGCAUUCUCUGAAAUGGCCAAUGCCAGGGGCAGGGCACUCUUCAUUCUUCAUUCGAAACUAAUUAAUAUUAAGUCGGGAGGUUUUGCCUUGUUAUCGAAAAGAGAGUUGAGUAAAGCAAACUCCCUCUUUAGAUGAGCAUGGGGAUUAGUCAAGUAGAAUCGAAUUGUACUCUUGGAUGCUCCAAUCGAAAAAUCAAUGGGGCCAUGCCGGUUUGACUGAAUAUGCAUUAGAAAUGUCAAUCCCUCCACAACGACACCAAAAAAAACCGGGCCGAACUUUUACCCGCCUGCUUCCAUAGAACAAUAUCAUGGCAACAUAGACUUAAGUGGUCAUAUUGGAUCCUUGGGAACGAGAAUGUCGUGUCGUCCAACGAAGUUUGCCCAAAAAAAUGCUUGUAGUUAAAAGGGUAUCAUGUCGGGUUGCGGGUUACACUUAUACCUCUAGACUUUGAAAAGUUUCACUUCUAUCCAUUUUGUUCUAGAAAAAAUACCUUUGAACUU